RNAcentral lists this ribosomal RNA (432 nucleotides) under uncultured bacterium. RNAcentral describes it as "partial 16S ribosomal RNA". It matches the Rfam family "Bacterial small subunit ribosomal RNA", at positions 29 to 506 of the family's 1533-position model. The record is from RNAcentral.
AGCGAACGCUGGCGGCAGGCCUAACACAUGCAAGUCGAACGAACUCUUCGGAGUUAGCGGCGGACGGGUGAGUAACACGUGGGAACGUGCCUUUUGGUUCGGAAUAACUCAGGGAAACUUGUGCUAAUACCGAAUGUGCCCUUCGGGGGAAAGAUUUAUCGCCAUUAGAGCGGCCCGCGUCUGAUUAGCUAGUUGGUGAGGUAACGGCUCACCAAGGCGACGAUCAGUAGCUGGUCUGAGAGGAUGACCAGCCACACUGGGACUGAGACACGGCCCAGACUCCUACGGGAGGCAGCAGUGGGGAAUCUUGCGCAAUGGGCGAAAGCCUGACGCAGCCAUGCCGCGUGAAUGAUGAAGGUCUUAGGAUGGUAAAAUUCUUUCACCGGGGACGAUAAUGACGGUACCCGGAGAAGAAGCCCCGGCGAACUUCGU